This 45-nucleotide non-coding RNA is filed under the name Schistosoma margrebowiei. Lineage: Eukaryota; Metazoa; Platyhelminthes; Trematoda; Strigeidida; Schistosomatidae. The record is from RNAcentral.
AUUCAGCUGACGAGUCCCAAGUAAGACGAAACACGCGUCCUGGAU